UGAACGCUAGCGGCAGGCCUAACACAUGCAAGUCGAGCGGCACCUUCGGGUGUAGCGGCGGACGGGUUAGUAACGCGUGGGAACGUGCCCUUCUCUACGGAAUAGCCUCGGGAAACUGAGAGUAAUACCGUAUACGCCCUUCGGGGGAAAGAUUUAUCGGAGAAGGAUCGGCCCGCGUCUGAUUAGAUAGUUGGUGGGGUAAUGGCCUACCAAGUCUACGAUCAGUAGCUGGUUUUAGAGGAUGAUCAGCAACACUGGGACUGAGACACGGCCCAGACUCC
RNAcentral lists this ribosomal RNA (281 nucleotides) under unidentified marine bacterioplankton. RNAcentral describes it as "partial 16S ribosomal RNA". It matches the Rfam family "Bacterial small subunit ribosomal RNA", at positions 30 to 339 of the family's 1533-position model. The record is from RNAcentral.